Molecule: ribosomal RNA, 275 nt
Filed under: Escherichia coli
Lineage: Bacteria; Pseudomonadati; Pseudomonadota; Gammaproteobacteria; Enterobacterales; Enterobacteriaceae
Description: partial 16S ribosomal RNA
Rfam family: Bacterial small subunit ribosomal RNA
Source: RNAcentral
GCCAGCAGCCGCGGUAAUACAGAGGGUGCGAGCGUUAAUCGGAUUUACUGGGCGUAAAGCGUGCGUAGGCGGCUUAUUAAGUCGGAUGUGAAAUCCCCGAGCUUAACUUGGGAAUUGCAUUCGAUACUGGUGAGCUAGAGUAUGGGAGAGGAUGGUAGAAUUCCAGGUGUAGCGGUGAAAUGCGUAGAGAUCUGGAGGAAUACCGAUGGCGAAGGCAGCCAUCUGGCCUAAUACUGACGCUGAGGUACGAAAGCAUGGGGAGCAAACAGGAUUAG